GUGGAACAACAAGUUCUAGAGUCAAACCCUCUUCUUGAAGCAUUUGGCAAUGCAAAGACAGUGAGGACUGAGGACCAAUAACUCAAGUCGGUUUGGUAAAUUUGUUGAUAUUCAA
Molecule: long non-coding RNA, 115 nt
Organism: Rhodamnia argentea
Lineage: Eukaryota; Viridiplantae; Streptophyta; Magnoliopsida; Myrtales; Myrtaceae
Exons: 3
Source: RefSeq, a predicted model, not a curated record